RNAcentral lists this long non-coding RNA (1468 nucleotides) under Triticum aestivum (bread wheat). RNAcentral's name for it is "long non-coding RNA (TAES_LNC012585)". The record is from RNAcentral. Lineage: Eukaryota; Viridiplantae; Streptophyta; Magnoliopsida; Poales; Poaceae.
UCGAAAAUCGUAUUAUCUUUUGUCCAGACUCAAAUUUUAUAUGGCUGUUUGAUCUGUGGUUAGAAUUUAUUCCCGGUGUCCGUGUCUCACUAAGUUACCUCUGUUGAAACUGAAAAAUGUAUGAAUGCAAAAAUGGUUUAUCAAAUCCAUGCUGAUUGCAAGACAUGCUUGUAUUGAAAAAGCAAUCAUCUUUUCACAUAUACAAAACUUUGUAAGGUUUGAGGUGCUGGUUUUGGAACCGCUUCUGUUUUUGUUUUACUGUACUCCUCUCAAUAGAGAUGCUCCUUUGAACUCUCAAGUUUCUAUUUUUGUUGCAUAGUUCACCGUUUGCAGACCAGUUGUUUGGUUGUCCUUUUAAUCAAAACUUCUGUUGUUAUGUUUGGAGGCAAGUCUGCAUUGGUCUCAUCCUGAUGGAAUUCAUUACAUGGUGGGAAUGUUAAGAGCGGGGACCUUAUAUUUAGAAACAACAAGGUGAUCCAUUUGUUGGUUUGUGCACACCUUCCUGUUAGGUUGUUUUCAAAAAUUAUUGGCAGUGAUGAUCUGGUAAAUCCCGGAUGUUUUAAAUUGUCUGAACUCUUCAGCCUGUGUGUGCCUGCUGUCUUUGCUUAUUGUUUGCUCCUUUAGCUUGAAGAAGCGCUGCACUUAAUUGGCGAGCUUGCUGAGAAAGAAAAGUUGUCACAGCGUGAUGAAAAGAUCGAUGCAUGAAAAGAGGUAUUCAUUAUUCAUUUACCUGUCGUCUCAUCUCUUACUGAAAUCUCAUCUCUCUUACUGAAAUUGCAGAACUGUUUGUGCACAUUGUGAUGUUUCUUUUUUCCGUAAACGCAAUCUAUCAGGUCUAAGCCAUAUCUAUUCCUGGGCAAGAAGGGCAUGAAGUAACACUUUGUCCUAGGUAUAUGCAUUUACUAUUGACCCUCGUUUUCCUCAUUUUCCGAUCGAUCUGUUUCUUUUUAAGACCUUCGCCAUCUCGCGCAAGAUCCUGCCUCAUUGAUUCUUACAUUGUUUCAGGAUGGCAUCUUUUGGUGAUUUAGACGCCUUUUGGAAAAUAUAGAUAUCUGUUACAUGUGUUGGAGGUUUGCGGCUUAUACAUGCAUGUCCUGAAUCUGGUUCUUCGAGGUGAAAUGGGUUGGUCGAAAUCAUGUCUACAACUUCCUUGAAAGAGCUUCUGCACCUCGUGUUUCAGUUUUGGUCACGUUUAUAUCCCUCUGUAGAAGGUCGCAGAGCCUUGGUACCCCUUGUAUGUUCUGUUGACGGUAUCACUUAGUGUUGUUUGGACCAUGUAUUGUAUUCGUGUUCCCUUUUUAUGUUAUUGGUGCUUCAGAAUCUAUAAUCAACUUGCAUUGCUUGUGUACAUGGUUACUUUUGCACCGUUCUGUUGUGGUUCAUAUUACUUGGAUUUUAUACGAUACUAUGACCUGCCAUCCAAUCUAUCUUUAAUAGAGAAACCCCCUUUUUCUCUAUGUAUCUGGAU